Non-coding RNA from Ictidomys tridecemlineatus (thirteen-lined ground squirrel), 420 nucleotides. The record is from RefSeq and is a predicted model, not a curated record. NCBI's taxonomy places the organism in Eukaryota, Metazoa, Chordata, Mammalia, Rodentia, Sciuridae.
AGGGGACUUGUCUGGAAACCAUCUCCUGUACAUUUUUUAUGCACUUCUUCAUCCAUCUCUUCAAAACAGAAGGAACUAGAACAAUACCUUGCAAGUAAGAAAUACAUGGCGAGUGCAACGGUCCUGAGAGAACAGGAACACGGAGCUUGUUGUGAGCCAGGAUCCCUGCUGGACUGCACGGGAGAGGCCCAGGUGGGGGCAGCUGUCGAGGCAGUGAUGUAUGACGAAUGACUUGUUGCCGCAAUGGAUCAUCAGAGCCUGGCUACACUGAUGACAUGUCACAGGCAUACAUCAUCAGAGCAGUGCCCGGCAGGAGCAGCAGUCUGGAAACCACCCUGCCCCAUAAAUUUUAAUACAGCCAAAUAAAAAGAGCUGUAAUUUUCUUUUCUUCUAAAUUAAAGAUUGACACUCAGGAAAGGA